GAUGAAGAACGCAGCGAAAUGCGAUACGUAAUGUGAAUUGCAGAAUUCAGUGAAUCAUCGAAUCUUUGAACGCACAUUGCGCCCCCUGGUAUUCCGGGGGGCAUGCCUGUUCGAGCGUCAUUUCACCACUCAAGCCUCGCUUGGUAUUGGGCGACGCGGUCCGCCGCGCGCCUCAAAUCGACCGGCUGGGUCUUCCGUCCCCUCAGCGUUGUGGAAACUAUUCGCUAAAGGGUGCCGCGGGAGGUCACGCCGCAAAACAACCCCAUUUCUAAGGUUGACCUCGGAUCAGGUAGGGAUACCCGCUGAACUUAAGCAUAUCAAUAAGCGGAGGA
RNAcentral lists this unclassified non-coding RNA (332 nucleotides) under soil metagenome. RNAcentral's name for it is "partial contains 5.8S ribosomal RNA, internal transcribed spacer 2, and large subunit ribosomal RNA". The stretch from base 1 to 120 matches the Rfam family "5.8S ribosomal RNA", at positions 35 to 154 of the family's 154-position model. The record is from RNAcentral.